Molecule: ribosomal RNA, 942 nt
Filed under: Elusimicrobiota bacterium
Lineage: Bacteria; Pseudomonadati; Elusimicrobiota
Description: Elusimicrobia bacterium (gut metagenome) partial 23S ribosomal RNA
Rfam family: Bacterial large subunit ribosomal RNA
Source: RNAcentral
GGGUAAGUUCCGACCUGCACGAAUGGUGUAACAAAGAGGGCACUGUCUCAACGAAAGACUCGGCGAAAUUGUGGUACCCGUGAAGACGCGGGUUGCAUGCGGCUAGACGAAAAGACCCCGUGGAACUUUACUGUAUCUUAACCUUGAAUUAUGGAGUUGGAUGCGUAGAAUAGGUGGGACGCUUUGAAACUUGGCUUUUGGGCUAGGUGGAGCGGAAAUGUGAAAUACCACCCUUUUAAUUCUGUGGUUCUAACUCUUAGGUUUGAAACAACCAAGAGGACAUGGUUAGGUGGGCAGUUUAACUGGGGCGGUUGCCUCCUAAAUAGUAACGGAGGCGUACAAAGGUAUCCUCAGGACCAAUAGAAAUGGUCCCAAGAGUGCAAGUGCAGAAGGGUGCUUAACUGCAAGACAGACAAGUCGAGCAGAUGCGAAAGCAGGUACUAGUGAUCCGGCGGUUCAGUGUGGAAUUGCCGUCGCUCAACGGAUAAAAGUUACCCCGGGGAUAACAGGCUUAUACCAUCCAAGAGUCCAUAUCGACGAUGGUGUUUGGCACCUCGAUGUCGGCUCAUCUCAUCCUGGGGCUGGAGCAGGUCCCAAGGGUUUGGCUGUUCGCCAAUUAAAGAGGUACGUGAGCUGGGUUCAGUACGUCGUGAGACAGUACGGUCUCUAUCUACCGUGUGCGCAGGAAAUUUGAGGGGGCUCGUUCUUAGUACGAGAGGACCGGAAUGAACAUACCUCUGGUGUUUCUGUUGUUCUGCCAAGAGCAUUGCAGAGUAGCCAAGUAUGGUUGAGAUAAACACUGAAAGCAUAUAAGUGUGAAACUUGCCCCAAGAUAAGAUUUCCCUGAAGACCACCCGUAGACUACGGGUUUGAUAGGCAAGAAGUGUAAGUACAGCAAUGUAUUCAGCUAACUUGUACUAAUCGGUCGUUUGGCUUGGUCAC